CGGCCGUUCAUUGGGUCAUCUAGC
Molecule: microRNA, 24 nt
Filed under: Aedes aegypti (yellow fever mosquito)
Lineage: Eukaryota; Metazoa; Arthropoda; Insecta; Diptera; Culicidae
Description: aae-miR-980-5p
Gene: aae-miR-980-5p
Source: miRBase by way of RNAcentral